AUACAGAGGGUGCGAGCGUUAAUCGGAAUUACUGGGCGUAAAGGGCGCGUAGGUGGAUGUAUAAGUUGGGUGUGAAAUUUCUGGGCUUAACCUGGAGAGGCCAUCCGAUACUGUAUGUCUAGAGUGCAGGAGAGGUAAGCGGAAUUUCCAGUGUAGCGGUGAAAUGCGUAGAUAUUGGAAGGAACAUCAGUGGCGAAGGCGGCUUACUGGACUGAGACUGACACUGAGGCGCGAAAGCGUGGGUAGCGAACAGGAUUAGAAACCCGAGUAGUCC
Molecule: ribosomal RNA, 274 nt
Filed under: uncultured bacterium
Lineage: Bacteria
Description: partial 16S ribosomal RNA
Rfam family: Bacterial small subunit ribosomal RNA
Source: RNAcentral